Molecule: ribosomal RNA, 460 nt
Filed under: uncultured bacterium
Lineage: Bacteria
Description: partial 16S ribosomal RNA
Rfam family: Bacterial small subunit ribosomal RNA
Source: RNAcentral
CCUACGGGAGGCAGCAGUGAGGAAUAUUGGUCAAUGGGCGAGAGCCUGAACCAGCCAAGUCGCGUGAAGGAUGAAGGCUCUAUGGUUUGUAAACUUCUUUUAUAUGGGAAUCAAGUGAGGAACGUGUUCCUUUUUUUAUGUACCAUAUGAAUAAGCAUAGGCUAACUCCGUUCCAGCAGCCGCGGUAAUACGGAGGCUGCGAGCGUUAUCCGGAUUUAUUGGGUUUAAGGGGUGCGGUGGGGGUUAAUUAAGUCAGCGGUGAAAGUUUGUGGCUCAACCAUAAAAUUGCCGUUGAAACUGGUUGACGUGAGGAUAUUUGAGGUAGGCGGAAUGCGUGGUGUAGCGGUGAAAUGCAUAGAUAUCACGCAGAACUCCGAUUGCGAAGGCAGCUUACUAAACUAUAACUGACACUGAAGCACGAAAGCGUGGGGAUCAAACAGGAGUAGAUACCCCAGUAGUC